RNAcentral lists this unclassified non-coding RNA (253 nucleotides) under uncultured Phycisphaeraceae bacterium. RNAcentral's name for it is "contains 16S-23S intergenic spacer region". It matches the Rfam family "Bacterial small subunit ribosomal RNA", at positions 524 to 776 of the family's 1533-position model. Lineage: Bacteria; Pseudomonadati; Planctomycetota; Phycisphaerae; Phycisphaerales; Phycisphaeraceae. The record is from RNAcentral.
UACGAACGGCCCGAGCGUUGCGCGGAAUCACUGGGCUUAAAGGGUGCGUAGGCGGAAAGGUUAGUGUCUUGUGAAAGCCCACGGCUCAACCGUGGAAUUGCAGGGCAUACUGCCUUUCUUGAGGCUGGUAAGCGCCGCCGGAACUGUAGGUGUAGCGGUGAAAUGCGUAGAUAUCUACAGGAACGCCGAUGGUGAAGACGGGCGGCUAGGCCAGUUCUGACGCUGAGGCACGAAAGCGUGGGUAGCAAACAGG